This 347-nucleotide ribosomal RNA is filed under the name Diabrotica virgifera zeae (Mexican corn rootworm). Its description in RNAcentral is "partial 12S ribosomal RNA". The record is from RNAcentral. Lineage: Eukaryota; Metazoa; Arthropoda; Insecta; Coleoptera; Chrysomelidae.
UUAAAUGUAAAAUUUUUAUUUAAUUAUUAUUAGUUAUGGUCUUUAAAAUUAAAAAUUUUGGCGGUAUUUUAGUCUUUUUAGAGGAACCUGUUCUUUAAAUGAUAAUCCACGAUUUUAUUAACUUUUAUUAUUAAUUUGUAUAUCGUCGUAAUUAAAUAUUUUUUUAGAAUUAAAAUAUUUAAAAUUUUUAUAAAAAAAAUUAAUCAGAUCAAGGUGCAGUUUAUAUAGAAGUAGAAAUGGGUUACAAUAAAUUUAUUUUUGAAUUUUAAAUAUUAGUAUUUAAAUGAAAUUGGAUUUAAAUGUAAUAUUAAUUAAUUAGUUAAUAUGAUUUUGGCUCUAAGAUAUGU